GAUGAACGCUGGCGGCGUGCCUAAUACAUGCAAGUCGAGCGAACGGACGAUAAGCUUGCUUCUCUGAUGUUAGCGGCGGACGGGUGAGUAACACGUGGAUAACCUACCUAUAAGACUGGGAUAACUUCGUGAAACCGGUGCUAAUACCGGAUAAUAUUUUGAACCGCAUGGUUCAAAAGUGAAAGACGGUCUUGCUGUCACUUAUAGAUGGAUCCGCGUUGCAUUAGCUAGUUGGUAAGGUAACGGCUUACCAAGGCAACGAUGCAUAGCCGACCUGAGAGGGUGAUCGGCCACACUGGAACUGAGACACGGUCCAGACUCCUACGGGAGGCAGCAGUAGGGAAUCUUCCGCAAUGGGCGAAAGCCUGACGGAGCAACGCCGCGUGAGUGAUGAAGGUCUUCGGAUCGUAAAACUCUGUUAUUAGGGAAGAACAUAUGUGUAAGUAACUGUGGACAUCUUGACGGUACCUAAUCAGAAAGCCACGGCUAACUACGUG
RNAcentral lists this ribosomal RNA (497 nucleotides) under uncultured bacterium. Its description in RNAcentral is "partial 16S ribosomal RNA". It matches the Rfam family "Bacterial small subunit ribosomal RNA", at positions 28 to 507 of the family's 1533-position model. The record is from RNAcentral.